GACGAACGCUGGCGGCGUGCCUAAUACAUGCAAGUUGAGCGCUGAAGGUUGGUACUUGUACCAACUGGAUGAGCAGCGAACGGGUGAGUAACGCGUGGGGAAUCUGCCUUUGAGCGGGGGACAACAUUUGGAAACGAAUGCUAAUACCGCAUAAAAACUUUAAACACAAGUUUUAAGUUUGAAAGAUGCAAUUGCAUCACUCUAAGAUGAUCCCGCGUUGUAUUAGCUAGUUGGUGAGGUAAAGGCUCACCAAGGCGAUGAUACAUAGCCGACCUGAGAGGGUGAUCGGCCACAUUGGGACUGAGACACGGCCCAAACUCCUACGGGAGGCAGCAGUAGGGAAUCUUCGGCAAUGGACGAAAGUCUGACCGAGCAACGCCGCGUGAGUGAAGAAGGUUUUCGGAUCGUAAAACUCUGUUGGUAGAGAAGAACGUUGGUGAGAGUGGAAAGCUCAUCAAGUGACGGUAACUACCCAGAAAGGGACGGCUAACUACGUG
RNAcentral lists this ribosomal RNA (497 nucleotides) under uncultured bacterium. RNAcentral describes it as "partial 16S ribosomal RNA". It matches the Rfam family "Bacterial small subunit ribosomal RNA", at positions 28 to 507 of the family's 1533-position model. The record is from RNAcentral.